AUGCGAUAAGUAAUGUGAAUUGCAGAAUUCCGUGAAUCAUCGAAUCUUUGAACGCACAUUGCGCCCUCUGGCAUUCCGGAGGGCAUGCCUGUCCGAGCGUCAUUUCUGCCCUCCAGCCCGGCUGGGUGUUGGGCGCUGUUCCCCCGGGAACACGCCCCAAAGGCAGUGGCGGCGCCGCGUCGGGUCCUCGAGCGUAUGGGGCUCUGUCACCCGCUCGGGAGGGACUCGCGGGCGCUGGUCUUCCAUGUCCGGGCGGUCCUUCGGGGCUGUCCUCCUUCCGGUUGACCUCGGAUCAGGUAGGGUUACCCGCUGAACUUAA
Molecule: unclassified non-coding RNA, 319 nt
Filed under: uncultured Talaromyces
Lineage: Eukaryota; Fungi; Ascomycota; Eurotiomycetes; Eurotiales; Trichocomaceae
Description: partial contains 5.8S ribosomal RNA, internal transcribed spacer 2, and large subunit ribosomal RNA
Rfam family: 5.8S ribosomal RNA (bases 1-102)
Source: RNAcentral